Molecule: ribosomal RNA, 301 nt
Filed under: uncultured bacterium
Lineage: Bacteria
Description: partial 16S ribosomal RNA
Rfam family: Bacterial small subunit ribosomal RNA
Source: RNAcentral
CAGUAGCCGCGGGAAUACAGAGGGUGCGAGCGUUAAUCGGAUUUACUGGGCGUAAAGCGUGCGUAGGCGGCUUCUUAAGUCGGAUGUGAAAUCCCUGAGCUUAACUUAGGAAUUGCAUUCGAUACUGGGAAGCUAGAGUAUGGGAGAGGAUGGUAGAAUUCCAGGUGUAGCGGUGAAAUGCGUAGAGAUCUGGAGGAAUACCGAUGGCGAAGGCAGCCAUCUGGCCUAAUACUGACGCUGAGGUACGAAAGCAUGGGGAGAAAACAGGAUUAGAUACCCGGGUAGUCCCUGUCUCUUAUAC